GCGGAUGUAGCUCAAUGGUAGAGCGGUCCCCAGCAAAGGUCCGGGUUCGAUCCUCGGCAUCCUCA
Molecule: transfer RNA, 65 nt
Filed under: Operophtera brumata (winter moth)
Lineage: Eukaryota; Metazoa; Arthropoda; Insecta; Lepidoptera; Geometridae
Rfam family: tRNA
About the family: Transfer RNA (tRNA) molecules are approximately 80 nucleotides in length.
Source: Rfam by way of RNAcentral